ACCCUACUCUAAUAAGGCUUUUAAUAUCUGGAGCUCAUAGGUGGGAGAUAAAGUAUACAUACUUACAAGACAUUUAUUGUAUAGUCAAACCAUGGAUCCAAAGAAACAAAUCAAUAAGUCAAAUCAAGAUGUGCAUGUGUGGCGAAUGGAUGGUGUAUGGUGAUGAUGGUGAUAACAAUGGUCAAAGUCUAAUUCUUUUGCUCUUUGAGGGGAUACAUACCGUCCUUGCUUUUCGAAACUUUGUGAGGAGAAUCAGAUGCUCUAUAUUUCAUUUUUCUUUCCUCUCAGGUGGGUAUAUUGUACCCCUAAUUCUACUGUCGGACACUUGUCCAUUUUUACCUCUCGUCUCACUUUUUCUUUUCUUUCGAGGUUCCGGGCACUUGCCCCUUUUUAUUUCCUCGUAUCUUUCUCUUUUUUUAGAGCACUCAUCUCUUGAGAUAAUAUAGCAAAUGGU
Molecule: long non-coding RNA, 454 nt
Filed under: Sorghum bicolor (sorghum)
Lineage: Eukaryota; Viridiplantae; Streptophyta; Magnoliopsida; Poales; Poaceae
Description: long non-coding RNA (SBIC_LNC012257)
Source: RNAcentral